UACGAAGGGGGCUAGCGUUGCUCGGAAUCACUGGGCGUAAAGCGCACGUAGGCGGGUCGCUAAGUCGGGGGUGAAAUCCUGGAGCUCAACUCCAGAACUGCCUUCGAUACUGGCGACCUUCGAGUCCGGGAGAGGUGAGCGGAACUCCGAGUGUAGAGGUGAAAUUCGUAGAUAUUCGGAAGAACACCAGUGGCGAAGGCGGCUCACUGGCCCGGUACUGACGCUGAGGUGCGAAAGCGUGGGGAGCAAACAGG
This 254-nucleotide ribosomal RNA is filed under the name uncultured bacterium. RNAcentral's name for it is "partial 16S ribosomal RNA". It matches the Rfam family "Bacterial small subunit ribosomal RNA", at positions 524 to 776 of the family's 1533-position model. The record is from RNAcentral.